RNAcentral lists this ribosomal RNA (473 nucleotides) under uncultured bacterium. Its description in RNAcentral is "bacterial SSU rRNA". It matches the Rfam family "Bacterial small subunit ribosomal RNA", at positions 355 to 825 of the family's 1533-position model. The record is from RNAcentral.
UGGGGAAUAUUGGACAAUGGGGGCAACCCUGAUCCAGCGAUGCCGCGUGUGUGAAGAAGGCCUGCGGGUUGUAAAGCACUUUUAUUGGGGAAGAGGGUGUUGACGAUGAAUAGUUGUUGACAUUGACGGUACCCGAAGAAUAAGCACCGGCUAACUCUGUGCCAGCAGCCGCGGUAAUACAGAGGGUGCGAGCGUUAAUCGGAAUUACUGGGCGUAAAGGGCAUGUAGGUGGGAUAAUAAGUCAGCUGUGAAAAACCUGGGCUUAACCUAGGGAAGUCAUUUGAUACUGUUAUUCUAGAGUGAAGUAGAGGGUAGUGGAAUUUCCGGUGUAGCGGUGAAAUGCGUAGAUAUCGGAAGGAACACCAGUGGCGAAGGCGGCUACCUGGACUUUAACUGACACUGAGGCGCGAAAGCGUGGGGAGCGAACAGGAUUAGAUACCCCCGUAGUCCCUGAGCGGGCUGGCAAGGCGCAU